UNAUANGUAGGUGCGAGCNUGUCCGNAUUACUGGCGUAANAGUUGUAGUGGUUUGUCGCNUNUUUNUGAANUUCGGGGCUUAACCUNNGGGCGUGCAGGCGAUACGGGCAAUACNUGAGUGCUGUANGGGAGACUGGAAUUCCUGGUGUAGCGGUGAAAUGCGCAGAUAUCAGGAGGAACACCGAUGGCGAAGGCAGGUCUCUGGGCAGUAACUGACGCUGAGGAGCGAAAGCAUGGGUAGCGAACAGGAUUAGAUACCCUGGUAGUCCAUGCCGUAAACGGUGGGCGCUAGGUGUAGGGGUCUUCCACGACUUCUGUGCCGUAGCUAACGCAUUAAGCGCCCCGCCUGGGGAGUACGGCCGCAAGGCUAAAACUCAAAGGAAUUGACGGGGGCCCGCACAAGCGGCGGAGCAUGUGGAUUAAUUCG
Molecule: ribosomal RNA, 427 nt
Filed under: uncultured bacterium
Lineage: Bacteria
Description: partial 16S ribosomal RNA
Rfam family: Bacterial small subunit ribosomal RNA
Source: RNAcentral